CCUACGGGUGGCAGCAGUGAGGAAUAUUGGUCAAUGGCCGAGAGGCUGAACCAGCCAAGUCGCGUGAGGGAAGACGGCCCUACGGGUUGUAAACCUCUUUUGUCGGGGAGCAAAGAGAGUCACGUGUGACUCAUUGAGAGUACCCGAAGAAAAAGCAUCGGCUAACCUCGGGCCAGCAGCCGCGGUAAUACGGAGGAUGCGAGCGUUAUCCGGAUUGAUUGGGUUUAAAGGGUGCGCAGGCGGAGGUGCAAGUCAGCGGUAAAAUUGCGGGGCUCAACCCCGUACUGCCGUUGAAACUGCAUCCCUUGAGUGCGCGAGAAGUAGGCGGAAUGCGUGGUGUAGCGGUGAAAUGCAUAGAUAUCACGCAGAACUCCGAUUGCGAAGGCAGCAUACCGGCGCGCAACUGACGCUCAUGCACGAAAGCGUGGGUAUCGAACAGGAUUAGAUACCCCGGUAGUC
RNAcentral lists this ribosomal RNA (459 nucleotides) under uncultured bacterium. RNAcentral describes it as "partial 16S ribosomal RNA". It matches the Rfam family "Bacterial small subunit ribosomal RNA", at positions 338 to 795 of the family's 1533-position model. The record is from RNAcentral.